GUGAAUGUGCGGGUACUACACAUGCAGUCGUACGAGAAAUUCCGAUUCGUCGGGAGAGUAAAGUGGCGAACGGGUGAGUAACACUAGGGUAAUCUUCCCUUAAAUAAGGGAUAACGUUGCGAAAGCGACGCUAAUACCUUAUAAGACUACGAUCUCUGAGGAGAUAGUAGGAAAAGAUGGCCUCUGUUUCAAGCUAUCGUUUAAGGAUGAGCCCUAGCACUAUUAGCUAGUUGGUGAGGUAACGGCUCACCAAGGCGACGAUGGUUAGCUGGUCUGAGAGGAUGACCAGCCACACUGGAACUGAGACACGGUCCAGACUCCUACGGGAGGCAGCAGUGAGGAAUAUUGCGCAAUGGGGGAAACCCUGACGCAGUGACGCCGCGUGAGUGAUGAAGGCUUUCGAGUCGUAAAGCUCUGUUAGGUGGAAAGAAACAUUCCGGCGCUAAUAUCGCCGGGACUUGACGGUACCACCAGAGGAAGCACCGGCUAACUCCGUGCCAGCAGCCGCGGUAAUACGGAGGGUGCAAGCGUUGUUCGGAUUUACUGGGCGUAAAGGGCGUGUAGGCGGUUAACUAAGUCAGAUGUGAAAUCCCUUAGCUUAACUAAGGAAGUGCAUUUGAAACUGGCUAACUGGAGUACAGGAGAGGAAAGUGGAAUUCCCAGUGUAGAGGUGAAAUUCAUAGAUAUUGGGAGGAACACCGGUAGCGAAGGCGGCUUUCUGGCCUGAUACUGACGCUGAGACGCGAAAGCGUGGGUAGCAAACAGGAUUAGAUACCCUGGUAGUCCACGCCGUAAACGAUGGGAACUAGGUGUAGGAAGUGUUGACCCUUUCUGUGCCGAAGCUAACGCAUUAAGUUCCCCGCCUGGGGAGUACGGUCGCAAGGCUAAAACUCAAAGGAAUUGACGGGGGCCCGCACAAGCGGUGGAGCAUGUGGUUUAAUUCGACGCUACGCGAAAAACCUUACCUGGGCUUGACAUGCUGGGAUUAUUCCUGAGAAAUCAGAUGAUUGCCUUCGGGUGUAACCAGCACAGUGCUGCAUGGCUGUCGUCAGCUCGUGUCGUGAGAUGUUGGGUUAAGUCCCGCAACGAGCGCACCCUCCGCUUUUAGUUGCCAUCAUUAAGUUGGGCACUC
Molecule: ribosomal RNA, 1132 nt
Filed under: uncultured bacterium
Lineage: Bacteria
Description: bacterial SSU rRNA
Rfam family: Bacterial small subunit ribosomal RNA
Source: RNAcentral